UUCCCUCAGAGCGGACCACCGAGAGCCCAGGCCAAGGCCGAAAUGGCCGAGCCUUCCUCUGCAUCUGGGCAGCCUGUGAUGCACCAGGUCAGGCAUGGCGGGAAUGGGAGGACUUCUGCAUACUGCAUUCUUCACUCUUAAAAAAGCAGGCAUCGGCCAGGCGCGGUGGCUCACGCCUGUAAUCCCAGCACUUUGGGAGGCUGAGGCGGGUGGAUCAUGAGGUCAGGAGAUCGAGACCAUCCUGGCUAACAAGACAUGAAAACCCCUCAUGGACCAUUCCGGAGCCAUGCCAGAAAAUUACCCUUGCUAAUUACAAUGAAAUAAAGAGUACUUCUGUGCCAAGCAG
RNAcentral lists this long non-coding RNA (346 nucleotides) under Homo sapiens (human). RNAcentral's name for it is "non-protein coding lnc-MKI67-1:1". Lineage: Eukaryota; Metazoa; Chordata; Mammalia; Primates; Hominidae. The record is from RNAcentral.